CCCUUAGAUGUCCUGGGCCGCACGCGCGCUACACUGACAUGUUCAACAAGCCUCCUAGUUCGACAGGAUUUGGGAAAUCUUUGAACGCAUGUCGUGAUAGGGAUAGAUCAUUGCAAUUAUUGAUCUUGAACGAGGAAUUCCUAGUAAACGCGAGUCAUCAGCUCGCAUUGAUUACGUCCCUGCCCUUUGUACACACCGCCCGUCGCACCUACCGAUUGAAUGUUUCGGUGAAGAUUCCGGAUAGGACUUUUUUGAUUUAUUUCAAUUCUGUCUUAAAAGCUAUCUAAACCUCAACAUUUAGAGGAAGGUGAAGGCGUAACA
This 321-nucleotide ribosomal RNA is filed under the name uncultured eukaryote. Its description in RNAcentral is "partial 18S ribosomal RNA". It matches the Rfam family "Eukaryotic small subunit ribosomal RNA", at positions 1470 to 1796 of the family's 1831-position model. The record is from RNAcentral.